UUGGCGUCUGCAGCUAGAGGACUGAUAGGCAGGCCAGAUGGCAAUGAUGGUGGCUGUGCAGGAAGUGAGGGCGUUCGAGACACACUUAGGUUUGCAUGACCAAGGCUGGUUUCUACCCAGACUCUUUGAGGCUAAAGGAAAAAGGAGAGUGUUGGUCUUCACAAAGGGCUGAUGAAACAUGCAGGGGAUUUGACAUCUGUGAGGAAGACACAGUGAAACCUUCACAGCAUUUCAGCUACUGAGAAUUGGAGGAAGAAUAAGAUGUUUGGUGGACAACUGAGGUCUGACAUAAUCUGCCUGCCAAAAUGGUGCAUCUUGGGGCAGCCUGCCUUUGACCCCUAUAACUGCAGGAACAACUACAUAUUUAUAAUCAGAAAUUCUUGUUUUCAGAUGUGCCUGAGCAGCUCUGAGGAAUGGCUUGUCGGUUCAGGUCUCACCACGGAGAAACGUUUCUCAUUAGCAGGUCUAUGGAGAUCUUUCCUGGGCUGUUUAUCCUCCUGCGACUCAAAAAAGCAUUCUCCCUCAUAAUCUCUCUAUUUUUUAAUUGAAAUAUAGUUGAUAUGC
Long non-coding RNA from Manis pentadactyla (Chinese pangolin), 564 nucleotides. RefSeq lists it as uncharacterized. The record is from RefSeq and is a predicted model, not a curated record. The transcript is spliced from 4 exons. Lineage: Eukaryota; Metazoa; Chordata; Mammalia; Pholidota; Manidae.